This 347-nucleotide ribosomal RNA is filed under the name uncultured bacterium. RNAcentral describes it as "partial 16S ribosomal RNA". It matches the Rfam family "Bacterial small subunit ribosomal RNA", at positions 338 to 682 of the family's 1533-position model. The record is from RNAcentral.
CCUACGGGUGGCAGCAGUGAGGAAUAUUGGUCAAUGGGCGCGAGCCUGAACCAGCCAAGUAGCGUGAAGGAUGACUGCCCUACGGGUUGUAAACUUCUUUUAUAAAGGAAUAAAGUGAGGCACGUGUGCCUUUGUGGAUGUACGUUAUGAAUAAGGAUAGGCUAACUCCGUGCCAGCAGCCGCGGUAAUACGGAGGAUCAGAGCGUUAUCCGGAUUUAUUGGGUUUAAAGGGAGCGUAGAUGGGUUGUUAAGUCAGUGUUGAAAGUUUGCGGCUCACCCGUAAAAGUGCAAUUGAUACUGGCAGUCUUGACUCCAGUUGAGGUAGGCGUAAUUCGUGGUGUAGCGGU